CUGCCAUCUAGUAAUUAAACACAGUGUGUGUCUCAUACAAAUCACUGUUAGUUGGGAAAAAAUACAGCCUUACCAUUUUAAUGAAAUUUUACCACUAAGAGCUAUUUGUUGACUACAAAGCAAGUAGAUUGUUUUCAGCGAUGGAAUUUUUUAUGCUGAAUGUAGUUUUUGCACAACAUUGCUGCAAAAUUUUGGUUCGAUUUUCUUCCAAAAAUCCUGGCAUAUUUCCUCGAUAAAAUGGCAGCAUUACAACAUAUGCCAAAUUCUAUCGCUGAAAACACUUAUCAUGAUGAGAUCUAUUAACACUGAAAAUUUCAGCCAGUUUGGUCAAAUUGGUAAAGAAUUAUCUUUUUUCAAAGAUGAAAAAUACCACAUUUCGGGAAAACGUCUAUAAAGUAUAAGUUAUCAAAUAUGAACUACCAACUGUUAAGAUAUACACUAUACUCGAUAUUUUAGACAAUUAAAAUUGUGCUGGGCAUCCCUCAUCAUCAAUUGUCAUGUGAAGUCAUUUCUUUUUCAAGAUUUACUUGUUUAUAAUAAGAAUCCUUUUAAAUUUUGAUUUUUCUACCAUUCCGUCCAAAUGCUGUUAUGUCUUGCAUCACCAUUUGGUUUUCCCGCAGUUUGAUGGUUGGUUUAAAAGAUGUUCCUGAGUGUUAACAGGACAUCCCAAUCCAGUUCUCAAUUUGUAUAGCUAAAUUUUCCAUCAUUUUCUUUGCUGAACCCACUUGCUG
Paramuricea clavata is the source of this 731-nucleotide non-coding RNA. Lineage: Eukaryota; Metazoa; Cnidaria; Anthozoa; Malacalcyonacea; Plexauridae. The record is from the annotation of a GenBank genome assembly.